GAUGUUAAGGCCAAACCCGCCGUGAGACGGGGACGGAAAGCCAUGGGUCUAAGGAGAGUGUCUUAGAUCGCCAGGUUGCCAGAA
RNAcentral lists this non-coding RNA (84 nucleotides) under Nitratifractor salsuginis. RNAcentral's name for it is "c-di-GMP sequence". It matches the Rfam family "c-di-GMP-I-GGC riboswitch aptamer". Lineage: Bacteria; Pseudomonadati; Campylobacterota; Epsilonproteobacteria; Campylobacterales; Sulfurovaceae. The record is from RNAcentral. RNAcentral also lists the same sequence under 1 other name.